This is a non-coding RNA of Schizosaccharomyces pombe (fission yeast), 1313 nucleotides long. Lineage: Eukaryota; Fungi; Ascomycota; Schizosaccharomycetes; Schizosaccharomycetales; Schizosaccharomycetaceae. The record is from the annotation of a GenBank genome assembly.
ACCAUUUCCUACUUUUUUUUCUAUACUUCCACACGAUAGUACACAAAUAAAACAAAAAAUGAAUGAAUUCAGAAAAAAUGGUUGAACGAGAAUUGAUUACAAAUAGAUUUCAUUAACCAUUUUAUUUUGUUUUACUUCACUUUUUAUUUACUUUAAUUUUAUUUUAUUUUUCAUUCCUAUUCAUCCUUUUUAUUCCUAUUAUCUGUUGCUUUUCAUUUCCUCCUUUGCUUUCUCUCUUGUCCCGCUACAACAAUCCCUAAAUAACCUUAAAGCUUUUACUGCUCCCACUCUGCCCAUCUGUCUCUCUCGUUCUACCUUCUUCCACCAUAUACCGCACUUUGCUCCCUUUCAAUAAACCUCUUUCACUCUCACUGAUCCAUAGUACUCUUUUUCUCUUCUUUCACCUUGUUUUACUCUCCUUGACUUUCCUUGCAUUUCUUUGGCUUUCCUUGCACUUCUCUCCUUCUCUCUAUAUCACAUACCGAAACAAAUUCUUUCACCCCUUUCCUCGUUAUUCAGAAAAUUUCCAUCUCUUUCCAUAUUUGACCCAUUUGACUAGCUAAGCAUUCUUGCUGUGUCUAAUUUUACUUUUUGCUCUUUUCGUUUCCCCUUUUUCCUCCUUCGUAAUCCUUCUUUUUCGUACUGCACUCCCUUGCCUUAUACAUGUACCGAUGCCAUACUCCCAUCUCAUCCCAUCCGAUAAGCGGCAGUCGCGACCAGCUCAUGCUGGUGAUGGUAACGAGAUUUGUCCAACAAUUCAUUAAACAUCAUACUGUGGAACAAGACCGUACAGCAGAGUGCAGUAAAGGAUUUGCUAAAGGAGAGAAGAACCCGACCGUUUCAGUAGAGUAGAGUAGAGAGGAAAGAGGAAAGGAUGAUACAUCAUUACUUUGAAUACGAUACAACACAAUUCUUUCAGUACAAUGUAAUUCACUUCUAUGCAAUGCAGUCCACUUCUAUGCAAUUCAGUCCAGCGCAAUGCAAUUCCAUACAUUUCAUUUCAAUUCAUAAUUUCAUAUACUAGCAUACGAUGAGAUGUCCAAUUUAUUAAAUACGUUUUCUCUUUCUCCCUCCCUUUUCACGAAAAGGCAAGAAAAGCCUUCUUGUUCAUCAUACGGUAUGCUUGCAAUUUUUAAGUGGGUGUAAAUAAACAGACACACAACGCAUAAUGAGAUGAUGAAGAAUUUCAAUACAAACUGAUUUGUACAAAAAAAAUUAAAUUAUAAAAAGAAAAUCUAUUCAAUUCAAUUCAAUUCGUGAAAAAAUAAAAAAAAUAAAAAAUUCGAAAUAAAAUUACAUUAAAUUAAUUAACG